Molecule: ribosomal RNA, 792 nt
Filed under: Bacillus pumilus
Lineage: Bacteria; Bacillati; Bacillota; Bacilli; Caryophanales; Bacillaceae
Description: bacterial SSU rRNA
Rfam family: Bacterial small subunit ribosomal RNA
Source: RNAcentral
GGCGUAAAGGGCUCGCAGGCGGUUUCUUAAGUCUGAUGUGAAAGCCCCCGGCUCAACCGGGGAGGGUCAUUGGAAACUGGGAAACUUGAGUGCAGAAGAGGAGAGUGGAAUUCCACGUGUAGCGGUGAAAUGCGUAGAGAUGUGGAGGAACACCAGUGGCGAAGGCGACUCUCUGGUCUGUAACUGACGCUGAGGAGCGAAAGCGUGGGGAGCGAACAGGAUUAGAUACCCUGGUAGUCCACGCCGUAAACGAUGAGUGCUAAGUGUUAGGGGGUUUCCGCCCCUUAGUGCUGCAGCUAACGCAUUAAGCACUCCGCCUGGGGAGUACGGUCGCAAGACUGAAACUCAAAGGAAUUGACGGGGGCCCGCACAAGCGGUGGAGCAUGUGGUUUAAUUCGAAGCAACGCGAAGAACCUUACCAGGUCUUGACAUCCUCUGACGACCCUAGAGAUAGGGCUUUCCCUUCGGGGACAGAGUGACAGGUGGUGCAUGGUUGUCGUCAGCUCGUGUCGUGAGAUGUUGGGUUAAGUCCCGCAACGAGCGCAACCCUUGAUCUUAGUUGCCAGCAUUCAGUUGGGCACUCUAAGGUGACUGCCGGUGACAAACCGGAGGAAGGUGGGGAUGACGUCAAAUCAUCAUGCCCCUUAUGACCUGGGCUACACACGUGCUACAAUGGACAGAACAAAGGGCUGCAAGACCGCAAGGUUUAGCCAAUCCCAUAAAUCUGUUCUCAGUUCGGAUCGCAGUCUGCAACUCGACUGCCUGAAGCUGGAAUCGCUAGUAAUCGCGGAU